GACGAACGCUGGCGGCGUGCCUAAUACAUGCAAGUAGAACGCACAGUUUAUACCGUAGCUUGCUACACCAUAAACUGUGAGUUGCGAACGGGUGAGUAACGCGUAGGUAACCUGCCUGGUAGCGGGGGAUAACUAUUGGAAACGAUAGCUAAUACCGCAUAAUAUUAAUUAUUGCAUGAUAAUUGAUUGAAAGAUGCAAUUGCAUCACUACCAGAUGGACCUGCGUUGUAUUAGCUAGUAGGUGAGGUAACGGCUCACCUAGGCGACGAUACAUAGCCGACCUGAGAGGGUGAGCGGCCACACUGGGACUGAGACACGGCCCAGACUCCUUCGGGAGGCAGCAGUAGGGAAUCUGCGGCAAUGGACGAAAGUCUGACCGAGCAACGCCGCGUGAGUGAAGAAGGUUUUCGGAUCGUAAAGCUCUGUUGUAAGAGAAGAACGGGUGUGAGAGUGGAAAGUUCACACUGUGACGGUAUCUUACCAGAAAGAGACGGCUAACUACGUG
This 505-nucleotide ribosomal RNA is filed under the name uncultured bacterium. RNAcentral's name for it is "partial 16S ribosomal RNA". It matches the Rfam family "Bacterial small subunit ribosomal RNA", at positions 28 to 507 of the family's 1533-position model. The record is from RNAcentral.